RNAcentral lists this small nuclear RNA (196 nucleotides) under Corchorus olitorius. Its description in RNAcentral is "U2 spliceosomal RNA". It matches the Rfam family "U2 spliceosomal RNA". From Rfam's summary of the family: U2 is a small nuclear RNA (snRNA) component of the spliceosome (involved in pre-mRNA splicing). Complementary binding between U2 snRNA (in an area lying towards the 5' end but 3' to hairpin I) and the branchpoint sequence (BPS) of the intron results the bulging out of an unpaired adenosine, on the BPS, which initiates a nucleophilic attack at the intronic 5' splice site, thus starting the first of two transesterification reactions that mediate splicing. The record is from Rfam by way of RNAcentral. Lineage: Eukaryota; Viridiplantae; Streptophyta; Magnoliopsida; Malvales; Malvaceae.
AUACCUUUCUCGGCCUUUUGGCUAAGAUCAAGUGUAGUAUCUGUUCUUAUCAGUUUAAUAUCUGAUAUGUGGGUCAAUGAUCCACUCGAUAUUAAAUUCAUUUUUCUAGGGGGAAAGCCCACCACAGUAGCUUGCUACUGGGGCUCUCGCGCGUCGCCCAAGCGUUGCACUACUGCUCGGGCCUGGCGCACCCCAC